Molecule: transfer RNA, 72 nt
Filed under: Candidatus Staskawiczbacteria bacterium RIFOXYB1_FULL_37_44
Lineage: Bacteria; Candidatus Staskawicziibacteriota
Also listed under: 4 other names
Description: tRNA-Thr
Rfam family: tRNA
About the family: Transfer RNA (tRNA) molecules are approximately 80 nucleotides in length. Their secondary structure includes four short double-helical elements and three loops (D, anti-codon, and T loops).
Source: RNAcentral
GCCACCUUAGCUCAGUGGUAGAGCAACUGUUUUGUAAACAGUAGGUCCGCAGUCCGAAUCUGCGAGGUGGCU